This 1212-nucleotide long non-coding RNA is filed under the name Oncorhynchus kisutch (coho salmon). RNAcentral describes it as "lncRNA (ENSOKIG00005035248.1)". Lineage: Eukaryota; Metazoa; Chordata; Actinopteri; Salmoniformes; Salmonidae. The record is from RNAcentral.
AUGCCCGGUCAGCGACAGUGUUUCAGAGAUGCCCGGUCAGCGACAGUGUUUCAGAGAUGCCCGGUCCGCGACAGUGUUUCAGAGAUGCUCGGUCAGCGACAGUGUUUCAGAGAUGCUCGGUCAGCGACAGUGUUUCAGAGAUGCCCGGUCAGCGACAGUGUUUUCAGAGAUGCCCGGUCAGCGACAGUGUUUCAGAGAUGCUCGGUCAGCGACAGUGUUUUCAGAGAUGCUCGGUCAGCGACAGUGUUUCAGAGAUGCCCGGUCAGCGACAGUGUUUCAGAGAUGCUCGGUCAGCGACAGUGUUUCAGAGAUGCUCGGUCAGCGACAGUGUUUCAGAGAUGCCCGGUCAGCGACAGUGUUUUCAGAGAUGCUCGGUCAGCGACAGUGUUUCAGAGAUGCUCGGUCAGCGACAGUGUUUCAGAGAUGCCCGGUCAGCGACAGUGUUUCAGAGAUGCUCGGUCAGCGACAGUGUUUCAGAGAUGCUCGGUCAGCGACAGUGUUUCAGAGAUGCCCGGUCAGCGACAGUGUUUCAGAGAUGCCCGGUCAGCGACAGUGUUUCAGAGAUGCUCGGUCAGCGACAGUGUUUUCAGAGAUGCUCGGUCAGCGACAGUGUUUCAGAGAUGCCCGGUCAGCGACAGUGUUUCAGAGAUGCCCGGUCAGCGACAGUGUUUCAGAGAUGCUCGGUCAGCGACAGUGUUUCAGAGAUGCCCGGUCAGCGACAGUGUUUUCAGAGAUGCUCGGUCAGCGACAGUGUUUCAGAGAUGCUCGGUCAGCGACAGUGUUUCAGAGAUGCCCGGUCAGCGACAGUGUUUCAGAGAUGCCCGGUCAGCGACAGUGUUUCAGAGAUGCCCGGUCAGCGACAGUGUUUCAGAGAUGCUCGGUCAGCGACAGUGUUUCAGAGAUGCUCGGUCAGCGACAGUGCUUUCAGAGAUGCUCGGUCAGCGACAGUGUUUUCAGAGAUGCUCGGUCAGCGACAGUGUUUUCAGAGAUGAUGCUCGGUCAGCGACAGUGUUUUCAGAGGUGCUCGGUCAGCGACAGUGUUUCAGAGAUGCUCGGUCAGCGACAGUGUUUCAGAGAUGCUCGGUCAGGGACAGUGUUUCAGAGGUGCUGUGGCAUUCAAACGUUGUUCAACUGGUAUCAAGGGUCAAUAGCGAAAAACGAGUUUUAAUGACUCCAACCUAUCCAGAACAGCCUGAAUUAUUCGGGGCAUGA